UUUAAAUCUACAUAAUAUAUAUAUACACACACCAUUGAACUUGAUGGGAUACACGAAACUAAUUUCAACGAUCCAACCAUUAAACUUGUUUGUAUAUGCUUCGAGAUCGCAUCAGCAAAAAAUCGCAAAAAACAAACAUUCAGAGAUCAAGUAACGGGACAAAACUUUUCGACGGUUAUAAAACAAAAAAUCACAAUUUAACGGUUAUUUUGACUCCGAUUUUGAUGAUUUUUUACAGCAACACUCGUUGACCCUAUAUGAAUACAAUGAAUGAAUUCGAUUUUCAAUUUAAAAUAUUUACACUAAUGGAUACCACAAAAUCUUAUGUUAUACUUAAUGAAAGUAUAAAUAAACUCUAAGUGUUAGUGAAUUUAUCGUUUUGAUGAGAUACGAAUUCUAUGAAACUAAUUGCAACGAUCCAAUCGUCAAACUUGUUUGUAUAUGCUUCGAGACCGCAUACGCCAAAAAUCACAAACAAAAAAACUUUUAGAGAUCAAGUAAUGAGACAAAACAUUUCGACGGUUAUAAAACAAAAAAUCACGAUUUAACGGUUAUUUUAACUCUGAUUUUGAUGAUUUUUUACAACUACACUCCUUGACCCUAUACGAAUACAAUGAAUGAAUUUGAUCGUCAAUUUAAAAUAUUUACAAAAGUGGAUACCACAAAAUCUUAUGUUAUACUUAAUGAAAGUAUAAAUAAACUUAAGUGUUAGUGAAUCUAUCGUUUUGAUGAGAUACGAAUUCUAUGAAACUAAUUUUAACAAUCGAACCGUCAAACUUGUUUGUAUAUGCUUCGAGAUUGCAUAUGCCAAAAAUCACAAAAACCAAACAUUCAGAGAUCAAGUAAUGAGACAAAACUUUUUGAUGGUUAUAAAACAAAAAAUCACGAUUUAACGGUUAUUUUAACUCCGAUUUUGAUGAGUUUUUACAACUACACUCCUUAACCCUAUACGAAUACCAAUGAAUGAAUUUGAUCGUCAAUUUAAAAUAUUUACACAAAUGGAUACCACAAAAUCUUAUAUUAUACUUAAUGAAAGUACAAAUAAACUCUAAGUAUUAGUGAAUCUAUCGUUUUGAUGGAAUAUGAAUUCUAUGAAACUAAUUUUAACGAUCCAACCGUCAAACUUGUUUGUAUAUGCUUUGAGAUCGCAUACGCCAAAAAUCACAAAAAACAAACAUUCAGAGAUCAAGAAAUGAGACAAAACUUUUCGACGGUUAUAAAACAAAAAAUCACGAUUUAACGGUUAUUUUAACUCCGAUUUUGAUGAUUUUUUACAACUACACUCCUUGACCUUAUACGAAUACAAUAAAUGAAUUUGUUCAUCAAUUUAAAAUAUUUAAACAAGUGGAUUCCACAAAAUUUUAUGUUAUACUUGAUGAAAGUAUAAAUAAACUCUAAGUGUUAGUGAAUCUAUCGUUUUGAUGGGAUACGAAUUCUAUGAAACUAAUUUUAACGAUCCAACCGUCAAACUUGUUUGUAUAUGCUUCGAGAUCGCAUAUGCCAAAAAUCACAAAAAACAAACAUUCAAAGAUCAAGUAAUGAGACAAAAGUUUUUGACGGUUAUAAAACAAAAAAUCACGAUUUAACAGUUGUUUUAACUCCGAUUUUGAUGUUUUUUUACAACUACACUCCUUGAACCUAUACGAAUAUAAUGAAUGAAUUUGAUCGUCAAUUUAAAAUAUUUACACAAGUGGAUACCACAAAAUCUUAUGUGAUACUUAAUGAAAGUAUAAAUAAACUCUAAGUGUUAGUGAAUCUAUCGUUUCUAUGAAACUAAUUUUAACGAUCCAACCGUCAAACUUGUUUGUAUAUGCUUCGAGAUCGCAUAUCCCAAAAAUCACAAAAAACAAACAUUCAGAGAUCAAGUAUUGAGACAAAAAAUUUCGACGGUUAUAAAACAAAAAAUCACGAUUUAACGGUUAUUUUAACUCCGAUUUUGAUGAUUUUUUACAAAUACACUCCUUGACCCUAUACGAAUACAAUGAAUGAAUUUGAUCGUCAAUUUAAAAUAUUUACACAAGUGGAUACCACAAAAUCUUAUGUUAUACUUAAUGAAAGUAUAAAUAAACUCUAAACCCUAAGUGUUAGUGAAUCUAUCGUUUUGAUGGGAUAUGAAUUCUAUGAAACUAAUUUUAACGAGCCAACCGUCAAACUUGUUUGUAUAUGCUUCGAGAUCGCAUAUGCCAAAAAUCACAAAAAACAAACAUUCAGAGAUCAAGUAAUGAGACAAAACUUUUCGACGGUUAUGAAACAAAAAAUCACGAUUUAACCGUUAUUUAAACUCUGAUUUUGAUGAUUUUUUUACAACUACACUCCUUGACCCUAUACAAAUACAAUGAAUGAAUUUGAUCAUCAAUUUAAAAUAUUUACACAAGUAGAUACCACAAAAUCUUAUGUUAUACUUAAUGAAAGUAUAAAUAAACUCUAAGUGUUAGUGAAUAUAUCGUUUUGAUGGGAUACGAAUUCUAUGAAACUAAUUUUAACGGUCCAACCGUCAAACUUGUUUUUUAUUAGGCGCUUAUUUUCGAGUGUAGAUGUAGUACUUAAAUGACAAAUAUGUUUUAAUGUUUUAAAGUAAUUUUUAUGUGGUAAUGUGUGGUAUGUGCAAAUUUAAGAAAAAAAAAUAUUUUUCUUAACGGGUCAUAACAGGUCAUAACAGGUCAUAACGGGUCGGGUCACUUUACUCAUUGGGUAAAGUGACCCGACCUGUUAAGGACCCGUUAAGAUAAUAGGUGUGACACGACACGACCCGUUAAGAUAACAGGGUUACACGAAAACGACACGAACACAACAGACACGACCUGUUUGCCAGGCCUAACUGAAGUACACAGAUCUUCGUUUUAUGGCAGCAAAACUAACUUGGAGUUAUGUUGGAGAUUGCUUGUUUAAGCUUUAUUUAUGAGUUUCCUACCAUUCUAGUAGCUUCCAUAGUUGUUUGAAUAGGUCGCCUUUUGGUAUGAUGGUUGUUUAUACAAUACCGUAUUUAGAUCUCGUAUAAAUACUCGGGGGAUUCAAAUGUAAUUAUGUAACAAAUGAAUGGGCAAAUAUGUAAUAAGUGCGGAACCCUUAUUCUAUAAAAGGACUCCUCACUCUCCUCAUUAGAGGAGGUCAAGUUUUAGGCCAUGGGAAGAGAGCACUGAAAAUAGGCUAGAGAGCACACUGCCUCUAGCCUUCUUGUGUAUUCACCAUUCAGAGUGAAACAAUAUCAACAUCAGUGUGGACAUAGCCCAACCAUUGGGGUGAACCACGAUACAUCUUGUGUUCUUUACUUUCUUGCAGAUUCACGGUUGGAUUUACGUUGUUCCAAGACCCCUCCGGUUUUGUGCAUCAACAUUUGGCACCGUAUGUGGGAAUCGACAUGAAAAGUUAUGUCGGUUCUCUCUCAAUUUUUCACCUCCGUCGUGAAUCUGGAAAAACCCAUGAACCCAAAGCUUUCCCUGAAAACCC
RNAcentral lists this long non-coding RNA (3447 nucleotides) under Malus domestica (apple). Its description in RNAcentral is "long non-coding RNA (MDOM_LNC003731)". Lineage: Eukaryota; Viridiplantae; Streptophyta; Magnoliopsida; Rosales; Rosaceae. The record is from RNAcentral.